RNAcentral lists this ribosomal RNA (468 nucleotides) under uncultured bacterium. Its description in RNAcentral is "partial 16S ribosomal RNA". It matches the Rfam family "Bacterial small subunit ribosomal RNA", at positions 28 to 507 of the family's 1533-position model. The record is from RNAcentral.
GACGAACGCUGGCGGCGUGCUUAACACAUGCAAGUCGAACGGAAAGGCCCUGCUUUUGUGGGGUGCUCGAGUGGCGAACGGGUGACUAACACGUGAGUAACCUGCCCUUGACUUUGGGAUAACUUCAGGAAACUGGGGCUAAUACCGGAUAGGAGCUCCUGCUGCAUGGUGGGGGUUGGAAAGUUUCGGCGGUUGGGGAUGGACUCGCGGCUUAUCAGCUUGUUGGUGGGGUAGUGGCUUACCAAGGCUUUGACGGGUAGCCGGCCUGAGAGGGUGGCCGGCCACAUUGGGACUGAGAUACGGCCCAGACUCCUACGGGAGGCAGCAGUGGGGAAUAUUGCACAAUGGGCGGAAGCCUGAUGCAGCAACGCCGCGUGCGGGAUGACGGCCUUCGGGUUGUAAACCGCUUUCGCCUGUGACGAAGCGUGAGUGACGGUAAUGGGUAAAGAAGCACCGGCUAACUACGUG